Long non-coding RNA from Brassica napus (rape), 6551 nucleotides. RefSeq lists it as uncharacterized. The transcript is spliced from 2 exons. Lineage: Eukaryota; Viridiplantae; Streptophyta; Magnoliopsida; Brassicales; Brassicaceae. The record is from RefSeq and is a predicted model, not a curated record.
CGACUUGUAACCAACAAGAGCUACUCACACACAUCGAGAGAAAAUAAUGAUUCAUCAGGAUUCAAUCUGUGAAAGGUUUUAUUGAUUUUCAAAUCAGAAAAACAAUUAGCAAUUAGUGACAUUUCUCUAUUAUACUAGUGGGUAUGUACAAUCAUAUUUUAGAUGUGAGAUUUCCAACAAUGACGUUGCUGUUUCUCUUAAUAUAUUUUUAAAUGUUUUCUUUAUGUUUAUCUUUUAUGUUUUUUUUUGCUUAAGGUCUUUUUGUGUUUAUUACAAUGAAUCUGUGGAAUGGUCCUGCUGAAGUGAUUGUGGAAGGUGGAUGGAUGUACCUACUAAUAGAUUCAACAACUGAAUUAUAUCACGCAAUUUUAUGCAGACUAGGCUAUCCGUGUCAGAUAACUGUAUUGUACUUCAAAAAAGUUUAUAGCGAAAAAGUUCAAUGCAUAAAUGAAAAUAAUAUUACAAACUGCAAUAUUUAGAAAUAUAAUUACUUGCAAAUCUAGUAUUUAAUGUGACAUAUAAUUGAAAUAUAUUUUUACUUGUAUAUUUAUAUACCAAUGUAUUAUUUUCAAAAUUAUACAAAAAAAUAAUACAAAUGAAUUGUUAAUGGGUUCAGAAGUACACGACAACUGGAAAUUAUGAUUUGAUCAGUUGGUCAUGUGUGAAGGUCCCUAUAAAUAGGAUACUUAUAUAAUUUUAUGAAUCUUAUUAUAUAAAUAAUAUCAAUGAUUUUUUAAUUAAUUGAGUGAUUAAUUUUAUUUUCUAGAUAUUACUGUUUAAGAAAUAUUAUAAUCAGUUACAGAUGACAAAUGUAUAUUUCUCUUAAAAAACUUAUUUUCAAAUAAUAUUUUUAAUAAAUAAAUUAUCAAUCUAUUUUUAAUCAGUAACUCUAUUUUAAUUAGAGGUAUUUCUAAAAUAAUGUAAUAAAUAUUAAAAUUAUUAGUUUUACUUGUAAUGUAUUUUUGAUGAUAAUUAGAAAAUAAGAAUAUCUUUAAAUAAUCUAAUCUCAUAAUCUGAAAUUAUAUUUAAAAUAUAUAUUUUAAAAUUAUUAUAAUGCUAAAUAAAAAAAUUCAAAUAAUUGUGGUCAAGAAGUUAAAAUUAUGGUUGUCAUUUCGAUGAAUAGUAUAUUGUUAAACUAGUGUAAUAAGUUAUUAUUACGUUGUAGAACUCAAAGUAAUUUAUUUAUAUUUUAAAUAUUAUAAAUUUGAUUCGCUUAUGUAAUUACAUACCACUUCAUUUUUUAUUUUAUUUUAUUUUAGACAAAAACAAUAUAUAUCAAAUUAUAUAAUUCAGUGGAUCUUUUUUCAAAAAAAGGAAGACUUUUUCAAAAAAGAAGAAGAAGAUAUAAGACUACAAAGUGAACGUGGCUAUAUUAUUAAUCAGAAAUGCAUUCAAUCUGGACAGCAUUUAAUUAGGACCGCAGAACGUGAUACACAUGCCUUCUUUAUUCAUUGUGUGAGAGAGAUUUGAGAUUUUGGUGCCAUUAUCUAAUUGACCUUCAAGACGCUUAUAAAGAGACGGUUUUUGUUGCCAACAAGAGAUGUCACAACGAGAGAGACAGAGAGAGCACUGACUUGAUGGAUGAAAUUAGGGUUUUGUACCGUUUGGUAAUAACGGUUAUGUGCUUUGUGUGUUUAGGGCUUAGUGUUGGGAUGUGCUCAGAGUCCGAUGCCUUGAUCAAGACUUACGUGUCUUCCACACUACACUCUGAUGACUUGCUCAGUUCCACAAAGCUCCAAAUUAUCAACCUUUUUUUUGCUAUCUUAAAUAUCGUGGAUUAUAAAAAAUUUGUAGGAUAAUCACACUAUGCACAACCCAUCUUUUAAAAUGAAAUCAUUGCAUUUUUUAUUUAAAUCUCUGUUUUGUUCUUUGUGUAUAUAGUCCACGAAGUCACUAAAUCGGACUGGGAUUCAUUGGUGAUGGAGUCCAAAGCCCCGGUGAUGGUUUUGUUCACAGCCUACUUGUGCCCAACAUGUUUUAUCAUGAGUUUCAAUAUGGACACUUUGGACUUGAAAUUCGCAGGGAGGUUCAAAUUCUACAGUGUCGACCUUGAUGACGAGCCAGAGAUCGGAGCACGUUGGGGUGUACUAACUUGCCCCACCACAGUUGUUUUCAAAUUGGGAAAAGUAAUGGAUAAGCGCACAGGAUUUCUUAACGAAGCGACACAGAUGGAUAUCGUCGAGAAAUAUAUAUGAGAACUCUUGGGCAUUGAGUCUUACGUAUGGUUUUUAUAUCUAAAAAUGUUUGAGUGUUGCGCAGGGCCGGCUCAACACUUCUAGAGGCCCUAGGGCAAAAAAAAAAAAAUUUUACUCUCUAAAAUUUAUAUAGAGAUAAUGUUUAAAAUAUUUUUAAAAUUUAAUCCAUAAUAUUUUGUAUAUUUUGUAAUGAAAAUAAAACUAUAUACAUAUCAAAUAAUUUUGGGCCCUUUUCAAUUUUAUUUAUUGUAUUUAUAAUUUUUUUUAUAUAUAAAAAUAUAGAUUUAUAAAAAAUUGGGCCCCUUAUUUAUCAUUACACGGAGGGACACGGACUCGGACCCGGGACGGUCGCACCGCUUGUCCCCCCCUUGUAAGCCGGCCCUGGUGUUGCGUGUAUCUUUAUGUUAUUACGCAAAAAUAAAAUUACUACAACAUGAUUACUCGAGAAAAAUAGCAUCUCCUGAGGUAACAGUUUCUCCUUCCAACGUAUUAUAAUACUUCCGCGUAAUGUCCUUACCAUCAUUGCUCUUGAGGAUAGUAAGACUUUGACCGUCAUUAACAACUCUCUGUAAAAAUGGAUUGUUUGAUUGAAAGAUACAAAGUUGACUUGUAGUUUUUGGUGAUUUUCAAACAUAGGAUGUAGACUAGAAUGAGAGUUUUACUCCUAUUGCAAAAUUAGUGACCCCAAGAGCUUUUCUCAAACUCGCAGCUUUUCAAGAUUGAAAAGUGUAUCAGAUGGAUGUUAAUAAUGUGUUUUUAUGGUGACCUUGAUGAAGCAAUUUCGGUGCGAUCACAUAUAGAUGUUGAUCCAAGGAUCAUGGAAAAACAAGUUUUGUCGUUUGCAAUAAAUCACUUUAUAAUUUUAAGGAAGCUCUACGGUGUUGGUUUGAAAUACUAACAUUUUUUAUAACUCAAAAUUUGGUUUUCCGGCCUUAAGAUCUGUACCAUCUGGGUAAUGCAUAGGUAGUGAACGGUGUGAAGAGGCACUAGAAAAAUAGGAGAAGUGCUAUGUUGUUGGUAGAGCUCCUAUUCCAAGUUUCUGAAAGUAUAUAUAGGGAACUUCAACAAACGCCCUUGCAGCUAAAAGAGGAUCCAUAGCAGCUCAAAGUACUUGAAAAUGGGCUAUAUGAUGGUAACAUAAAAUGGAAUCAUAAAGCUCACGGAGUCGAAACCUUGAAUCUUCAAUGUGCCAAAGAAGCAUGUCCUAGCGUACAAAUACAGAUCAUGCUUUCGAAUUUUACACUUCAACCCUUUUCCUUGUUUUUAAGUGUGACUUGUGUAAUCAAAUCAGGGACUAAUAUUUAUAUGAUAUAUGCUGUAAGAACCACCAAUCUUUUGUAGUCUUAUGCAGUAGCAUACUACUAGGAUAAGAUAUAUGAAUACUUGUGUUUAAUUAAUACAUCUAAGAAAGAUAAUGAUUAUAUUAUAGAGUGAGAAUAUGUAGUCAUAUUAUUAUUAUUAUUAGCUUCAAUCAGGAGAGCAUUUGACUAGGACUGCAGAACGUGAUAUAUGCUUGAAAGAGGUGUGUCAAUUGUGUGAGAGAAAUCUGAGAUCUUGGUCCCAUUGUCUCAUUGACCUUAAAGACGGCUUAUUAAACGGCUUGUAACCAACAAGAGCUACUCACACACAUCGAGAGAAAAUAGUUAUUCAUCAGGAUUCAAUCUGUGAAAGGUUUUAUUGAAAGGUGUUUCAAAAAAUAAAAAAGGUUUUAUUGAUUUUCAAAUCAGAAAAAAAAAAUUAGUAAUUAGUGAAUUGUUUCAUUUCUCUAUUAUACUAGUGGAUAUGUACAAUCCAUAUUUUAGAUGUGAGAUUUCCAACGAUAACGUUGAUGUUUGUCUUAAUUUAUUUUUAAAUGUUUUCUUUAUGUUUAUCUUUUAUGUUUAUUACAAUUAAUUUGUGGAAUGGUCCUGCUGAAGUGAUUCUGGAAUGGGUGGAUGUACCUACUAAUUGAUUCAUCAACCGACUUAUUUCACGCAAUUUAAUGUAGACUAGGCUUAUCCGUCUCAGAUAACUGUAUUGUAGUUCAAAGAAGUUUAUAGCGAAUAAGUUCAAUGCAUAAAUGAAAAUAAUUUUACAAACUGCAAUAUUUAGAAAAAUAUAGUUACUUGCAAAACUAAUAUAUAAUGUGACAUAUACAUGAAAUAUUUUUACUUGUAUAUCUAUAUACAAAUUUAUUAUUUUCAAAAUUAUACAAAAAUAUAAUACAAAUGAAUUGUUAAUGGGUUCAGAAUUACACGAACCAAUAUUUUUUAAAAAAAAAACUCAUCCAUUGAUUAAAUAUUUUGAAUAUAAUAACAUAAAACAACUGAAAAAUUAUGAUUUGAUCAGUUGGUCAUGUGUGAAUCUCCCCAUAAAUAGUGUACUUAUAUAAUUUUAUUUUCUAGAUAUUCUGUUUAAGAAAUAUUAUAAUCAGUUAUAGAUGAUAAAAGUAUAUUUCUAUUAAAAUGUUUUAUUUUUUCAAAUAAUUUUAGUAAACAAAUUAUCAAUCCAUUUUUAAUCAGUAACUCUAUUUUAAUUAGAUAUAUUUCUAAAAUAAUGUAAUAAAUAUUAAAAUUAAUGUUAAAUGUUUUUAGUAGUGUAUUUUUGAUCAAAUAAUUAGAAAAUAAGAAUAUAUUUAAAUAAUGUAAUCUCAUAAUCUGAAAUCAUAUUUUAAAAAUAUAUACUUUAUAUAAAAAAUUAUAUAAUAAUAAAUAAACAAUUCAAAUAAUUGUGAUCAAGAAGUUAAAAUUAUGGUUGUCAUUUCAUUUGAAUAGUAGUAUAUUGUAAACUAUUGUAAUAAAAACAUCUUUGCUUGUGAGUUAUUAUUUAAAACUCUUAAGUAAUUGAUUUAUAUUUUAUCAAUUUGAUUCGCUUAUGUAAUUACAUACCAGUCAUCACUUCAUUUUUUAUUUUAUUUUAGACCAAAACAAUAUAUAUAUCAAACUAUAUAAAUCAAGUGGAUUUUUAUCAAAAAAAAAAAGACUUUAAAAACAAGAAGAAGAUAAGACUACAAAGUGAACGUGGCGAUAUUAUUAUUUUAAUUAUAAAUGCAUUCAAUUUGGACAGCAUUUAAUUAGGCCAUGCGCAGCGAUGAAUUCUCAACUGAUCUCUAAUUAUUAAAUUAAUGAAAAUAAAUGAACAAGGAAGAGAGAGAAUGAAAAACGUUUCUUCUUGAAGAGACUAAAAAAAAUCUGAAGAGACUCCGCUUCCAUUUUAUCUUCUUUUCAUUGGGUAAAUUUCAUUUAGUUUUGAAAUUUAAUUACAAAUAAUAUUAUACUAGUUUUUUUAUUGAUUAGAUACCAUGGGAAGAACUUCUACCACUAAUGAUGCUCUUAGGACCUCAGAAUACAUGCCUUAGAAAGUUCUCUAUGCAUUGUGUGAGAGAGAUUUGAGAUCUUGGUGCCAUUAUCUCAUUAGCCUUCAAGACGCUUAUAAAACGAGGGUUUUGUUGCCAACAAGAGAAGUCACAACGAGAGAGACAGAGAGAGCACUGAUUUUGAUGGAUGAAAUUAGGGAUUUGAACCGUUUGGUAAUAACGGUUAUGUGCUUUGUGUGUUUAGGGUUUAGUGUUGGGAUGUGCUCAGAGUCCGGUGCCUUGAUCAAGACUUAUGUGUCAUCCUCACUAUACUCUGAUGAUUUGCUCAGCUCCACUAAGCUCCAAGUCCCUUAUGUCGCUGAAUCAGACUGGGAUUCAUAGGUGAUGGAGUCCAAAGUCCCGGUGAUGGUUAUGUUCACAGCCGAUAUUGAUUUAGAGCGAGAGAUCGCACCACGUUGGGACAUACGAGCUCUCCCCACCAUCGUUGUUUUCAAAGGGGGAUACUUAGUGGCUACUCGCGCCGGAGCUCUUGAAGUAAAGACACUGAGGGAGAUCAUCGAGAAAUAUAUGUGAUGACUGGGCAUUGAGUCUUAAGCAUGGUUUAUAUAUCUAUAUAUAUAAAAAAAUGUUUGUGUCCCUCCUGUUGCGCCACGUCGGAUCCAGCCUGGAAACUCGCUUCAUACAAUCGCGCCACAUGUCCUGAACAUGAGACUCACCGUUUCAUUAACUCUGGUGUGGGCUUGGACUGUGUAAUCGCGUGUCUGGGCCUAAUCCUGAAGAAUCGAUGCAUUGGGCCAGGAGCUCAAGCCUCGCCUCCCGGCGGUCAGCUAACCACCACCAUGAAUUUCGUCGUCUUCUUCCUCUCUAAGCCCGACUUCGGUUACUACUCCUUCGGCUUCACCGCCUCCACCGUAGCUUCAUCAUGUCUCCGCUUCCAGCCAAUCUCUCAUUACUCGCAUCAGAUCUUGAAUCGAUGGUGGAGAAAACUCCAUCUUCUUCAUGAAUCUGCAUCUGGACAAGAAUAAGCUUUGAUAAGAGAAUAGAUAAAAGAGUGGUUGAGA